CACGUAGGGCGCGAGCGUUGUCCGGAAUUAUUGGGCGUAAAGAGCUCGUAGGCGGCCUGUUGCGUCCGCUGUGAAAGCCCGGGGCUUAACCCCGGGUCUGCAGUGGAUACGGGCAGGCUAGAGGUAGGUAGGGGAGAAUGGAAUUCUGUGUGGAGCGGUGAAAUGCGUUGAUCUACAGAGGAACACCAAAAAAGGCGAAGGCAGUCAACUAUUCUGUUCCUGACAUUGAGGCAUGAAAGCGUGGGGAGCAAACCGG
This 256-nucleotide ribosomal RNA is filed under the name uncultured bacterium. RNAcentral's name for it is "partial 16S ribosomal RNA". It matches the Rfam family "Bacterial small subunit ribosomal RNA", at positions 524 to 776 of the family's 1533-position model. The record is from RNAcentral.